UGGGGAAUCUUGCACAAUGGAGGAAACUCUGAUGCAGCGACGCCGCGUGAGCGAAGAAGCCUUUCGGGGUGUAAAGCUCUUACGCCAGGGACGAUAAUGACGGUACCUGGAGAAGCAGCUGCGGCUAACUACGUGCCAGCAGCCGCGGUAAUACGUAGGCAGCAAGCGUUGUUCGGAAUUACUGGGCGUAAAGGGUGCGUAGGCGGCGCUCUAAGUUUGGUGUGAAAUCUCCCGGCUUAACUGGGAGGGUGCACUGAAAACUGGGGCGCUCGAGUAUGGGAGAGGAAAGCGGAAUUCCUGGGGUAGCGGUGAAAUGCGUAGAGAUCAGGAGGAACACCUGCGGUGCAGACGGCUUUCUGGACCAUCACUGACGCUGAGGCACGAAAGCGUGGGUAGCAAACA
RNAcentral lists this ribosomal RNA (402 nucleotides) under uncultured bacterium. Its description in RNAcentral is "bacterial SSU rRNA". It matches the Rfam family "Bacterial small subunit ribosomal RNA", at positions 355 to 774 of the family's 1533-position model. The record is from RNAcentral.